Molecule: small RNA, 29 nt
Filed under: Bombyx mori (domestic silkworm)
Lineage: Eukaryota; Metazoa; Arthropoda; Insecta; Lepidoptera; Bombycidae
Description: piRNA piR-bmo-1297410
Source: RNAcentral
UAGCCGAUUUUACUACUGCCUCGAAAAUU